This 206-nucleotide long non-coding RNA is filed under the name Capsicum annuum. Its description in RNAcentral is "long non-coding RNA (CANN_LNC002367)". Lineage: Eukaryota; Viridiplantae; Streptophyta; Magnoliopsida; Solanales; Solanaceae. The record is from RNAcentral.
GGGCCUAGAAUCAUCUAUCAUACGAUCAUCAUUUACACCCAAAUUCAAAUUAAAAUCAAAAGGAGACGAAACACUAAAUUGUAUUGAAAUCCAAUCUCGGUCGGGCCUAGAAUCAUCAAUCACACAAUCAUCAUUUACACCCAAAUUCAAAUUCAAAAUCAAAAGUAGACGAGACACUAAAUUGUAUUCAAAUCCAAGGUCGGUCG